This 274-nucleotide ribosomal RNA is filed under the name uncultured bacterium. Its description in RNAcentral is "partial 16S ribosomal RNA". It matches the Rfam family "Bacterial small subunit ribosomal RNA", at positions 84 to 354 of the family's 1533-position model. The record is from RNAcentral.
CCCGCCGGCGACCGGCGCACGGGUGAGUAACACGUAUGAAACCUGCCCGUAGCAGGGGGAUAAGCGGAAGAAAUUCCGUCUAAUACUGCGUAACAACCCGAGGAGGCAUCUCCUCGGGUUUAAAGGAAGCGAUUCCGGCUACGGAUGGUCAUGCGUCGCAUUAGCUAGUUGGCGGGGUAACGGCCCACCAAGGCGACGAUGCGUAGGGGUUCUGAGAGGAAGGUCCCCCACACUGGUACUGAGACACGGACCAGACUCCUACGGGAGGCAGCAG